This is a long non-coding RNA of Symphalangus syndactylus (siamang), 1005 nucleotides long. RefSeq lists it as uncharacterized. The record is from RefSeq and is a predicted model, not a curated record. NCBI's taxonomy places the organism in Eukaryota, Metazoa, Chordata, Mammalia, Primates, Hylobatidae.
AAAAUACUACCAUCUAAUUUUAGGAUGAAUAGUUCCACUUUUAUUCUAAAAAUAAAAUUAUGGGCUUUAUAGUUACAUAUUCGCAAAUAUUUGACUUUUAAAAAAUGUAUAUAUGUCAAUCCUGAUGAAAAGGAUGGUUCAUGAACACCCAGAAAUAAGUGAUCAUGAGGAAUUAGCCUGUGUUCUCACUAAGGCCAAGUGAUUUCAGACUGUCCUCAUUUCCUUCUUUGACAGAUUAGCUACAUCAGUAGAUCUUGGAAAUUAGACAGACACAUUACAUCAGGUCUUUAGCAAGACGCCUGGCAAGUCACUUGAUGAUAUCCCUGUGGUCGAAGUGAAGAAAUGUGGAAACAACAUGCUAGAAAACAAGGUCUCACUCUAUCGCCCAGGCUGGACUGCAGUUGCGUGAUCAUGGCUCACUACAGCCUCAACCUCCCGGGCUUAGGUGAUCCUCCCACCUCAGCCUCCCAAGUAGCUGCAACUACAGAAAAACCAAGUAUAUAACAAGUCACAAACGGAACUACCCUUUGCAAGCUGCAGGAUUGAGAAAAACAGUGGCCUUCUUCACUUGUGCAUUGGGAGGAAUGAGUUGAUUGCCAAACACCUAAAAAAGAAAAGAGCAAAGUUUUCAGUAAAAGUCCAUUUAUUUGGUAAAUGUCACAUGUAUUCUUUCAUUCCAAAAAAAAUGUACUUGCAGCACAUAUGGUAUCUACCCUUGGGGAAAAAUAUUCUUUCAUGAUCUCAUAUUAACAAAAACGCCAUCAACAACAACAAAAAGUAACAUUAUUUAAUGACAAUAAGCUGUAUUUUGUAUUGGAAUAAAAAAAUCCUGCUUUAUCUACUAGAGGCAAAUAACAUUUAUUUUCUCUAUAAGAUAUAGCUAGGUUUAUUAUAACAUAUAAUUAGUAAGGCCAUAGUCUGUCAGGAGAGAAGUUUAAUCUAUGUCUUCAGUUUUCAGAGUACAAUAUUCUCUCCAGCUCAUCACUAAAAUCUGUUCAUGAAGAA